AUUGACGCGUGGCGGCAGGCUUAACACAUGCAAGUCGAGCGGAGGAGAGGUAGACGUUGCUACUGAUCUUAGCGGCGGACGGGUGAGUAAUGCUUAGGAAUCUGCCUAUUAGUGGGGGACAACAUCUCGAAAGGGAUGCUAAUACCGCAUACGUCCUACGGGAGAAAGCAGGGGAUCUUCGGACCUUGCGCUAAUAGAUGAGCCUAAGUCGGAUUAGCUAGUUGGUGGGGUAAAGGCCUACCAAGGCGACGAUCUGUAGCGGGUCUGAGAGGAUGAACGGCCACAUUGGGACUGAGACACGGCCCAG
Molecule: ribosomal RNA, 307 nt
Filed under: uncultured bacterium
Lineage: Bacteria
Description: bacterial SSU rRNA
Rfam family: Bacterial small subunit ribosomal RNA
Source: RNAcentral